GCUCCCAUAGCUCAAGGGAUAGAGCGCAGCGCUGCGGACGUUGAGGCUACAGGUUCAAGUCCUGUUGGGAGUA
Molecule: transfer RNA, 73 nt
Filed under: Paludibacteraceae bacterium
Lineage: Bacteria; Pseudomonadati; Bacteroidota; Bacteroidia; Bacteroidales; Paludibacteraceae
Description: tRNA-Arg
Rfam family: tRNA
About the family: Transfer RNA (tRNA) molecules are approximately 80 nucleotides in length. Their secondary structure includes four short double-helical elements and three loops (D, anti-codon, and T loops).
Source: RNAcentral